ACAACAAGAAACAAGAGGGGUUGGAGGGAAUGAGAGAUUAUUAUUUAAUGGGAUAGAGUUGGUUUUGCAAGAUGAAAAGAGGCCUGGAGAACGAAGGUGGUGGUGAUUGUAUAACAAUGUACCUCACCUGAACACUGAGAAAUUAUUAAGAUGGGACUCCUUUGUGCAAUGUCCUUUAACUUUCACGAAACGAGGGAGUUAUGUCAAGCCAGGGAGGCCACAGGACCAAGCCAGUUAUACAACCCCAACUUGGUACAUAACAAGAACAAAAAUAGACACCAGCUCUCCAGAGCUCACUGUGUGCCAGAUGCCUGCCAACUGCUUUAUCCUACUUAAUUCUCACAACAAACUGUAUGCUCAGUCCUGUGGCUAUCUCCAUUGACAAAUGGCAAACCCAAGGCACAGGCCAGGAUUCUCUCCAACAGCACUGGACCCAUGGGAGGAGUGAGGGGCCAUAUAGACUGGGUACCCCCAGCAUGUUCUUGAGUAGGAGCUUUGCAGUGAGGAAACUGGAUCCCAGCAUCUGUCUGAUUAGUCUUCUAAUAUCAUAUACAAGUCCAGCCAUUUCUCAACUGUGAAUCUGCACCUAAGAGAAAUUUAGCUCUACCAACUUCAUAACAAGUUUGUGUUACCUUAUUCUGACGUAAGUCUUGCAGUUUCAGAUUGAAAUCCUUUUUCUCUGAGUCACUUAGGUCCAUCCUUUAUACUACCCACUUCCUUCAGUGGUGGUUCUCACACAUCUAUGGUCCAAAUUCAAAUUCUUUCAGCAGCACAGUCCAUAUUUCACUCUUUAGUUUCACACUUUAGGGGUGAGUUUAAGAUUUAAAUCCUAUACAUUAAAAUUCACUUUAUGGUUGUAACCAAUCAUUACACCAAGUAGACUCCAGUACAACAUCCCAUGGAUUUAUUCCACACCCUAAAAAUGUCCCUGAGCUUCCCCAGUCAAAGGCUCCCUAAGUCCCUCAAACUUGCUGAUCUAGUUUUGGUCCCUACAUUUUAUCCUUUUCCUGAAUGUCAUCUGAAUGAAAUAUUUCAGUGAGUAGCCCUUCUGGUUGGGUCUUUCACUUAGCAAAUGUGAAAUUGAUUUAAAAUUCAUCCAUGCUAUUGUGUGAAUUAGAAGCUUAUUUCUUUUUACUUCUGAAGAGUAUUCAUUGUAUGGAAAUAUCACAGUUUGUUAUUCAC
Molecule: long non-coding RNA, 1182 nt
Organism: Fukomys damarensis (Damara mole-rat)
Lineage: Eukaryota; Metazoa; Chordata; Mammalia; Rodentia; Bathyergidae
Exons: 4
Source: RefSeq, a predicted model, not a curated record